UACGUAGGGGGCAAGCGUUGUCCGGAUUUAUUGGGCGUAAAGAGCGUGUAGGCGGUUAUACAGGUCCGCCGUGAAAACUGGAGGCUUAACCUCCAGACGUCGGUGGAAACCGUAUGACUAGAGUCCGGAAGAGGAGAGUGGAAUUCCUGGUGUAGCGGUGAAAUGCGCAGAUAUCAGGAAGAACACCCGUGGCGAAGGCGGCUCUCUGGGACGGUACUGACGCUGAGACGCGAAAGCGUGGGGAGCGAACAGG
This 253-nucleotide ribosomal RNA is filed under the name uncultured bacterium. Its description in RNAcentral is "partial 16S ribosomal RNA". It matches the Rfam family "Bacterial small subunit ribosomal RNA", at positions 524 to 776 of the family's 1533-position model. The record is from RNAcentral.